This 499-nucleotide unclassified non-coding RNA is filed under the name uncultured Bartonella sp. RNAcentral's name for it is "partial 16S-23S ribosomal RNA intergenic spacer". The stretch from base 87 to 160 matches the Rfam family "tRNA". The record is from RNAcentral. Lineage: Bacteria; Pseudomonadati; Pseudomonadota; Alphaproteobacteria; Hyphomicrobiales; Bartonellaceae.
AAAGCUCUUUGUUUUUUGAAAGGGUGCUUUUAUGAGAUAGAGCUUUUUUAGAUAAUGCUGGGGAAGGUUUUCCGGUUUAUCUCGGAGGGCUUGUAGCUCAGUUGGUUAGAGCGCGCGCUUGAUAAGCGUGAGGUCGGAGGUUCAAGUCCUCCCAGGCCCACCAAUUUACCUAUCCAUUUGCCUUUAUCCGUUUAUUUGCCGAUUUAUCGGUCCAUUGAAUUUAAGUGUUGGUAGCGGUUUUUAUAAUGAUGAGAAAUCAUGCUUAUAAAAGAAUUCCUUAUAAAAGGCUUGUUUUUAAAAUGUGACGCUUAUCCAUUUCGCUUAGGCAAAAGAAACUUCAAGCGGUCAAAUGCAAAAGGCUUUAAAUUUUGCAAAACACUUUGAAUUUUAAAGUGAUCCAAGUUCGUGAUCUCGAAUUUAAAAGUUUCGAAUGCUUUAUCCUUUUUUGGGGGCCGUAGCUCAGCUGGGAGAGCACCUGCUUUGCAAGCAGGGGGUCGUC